Molecule: ribosomal RNA, 1020 nt
Filed under: Triticum aestivum (bread wheat)
Lineage: Eukaryota; Viridiplantae; Streptophyta; Magnoliopsida; Poales; Poaceae
Description: partial small subunit ribosomal RNA
Source: RNAcentral
AACGCCACCACCCAACAGCGUGAGCUCGAUGCCCAUCUCGUCCUUUGGAUCUACGCCACCCUCGCCGACAACCUUGUCGAUCAUGUCGUCGGGGCCACCACCACCUAUGAUCUCUGGAAUCGCAUCCGGGAUUACUUCCUCGCAAACAGGGCGGCUCGGUACAUGAUGCUCAACACGCAGUACCGUAACCUCAAGCAGGGGGACCUCUCCGUUGCCGAGUACGCCCGCUGCAUGAAGUUGAUCACCGCCAGGCUCGCCGACAUCGACCACGCCGUCACCGAGGUGGAUCUCACCACCCAGUUUCUCCACGGCAUCGACAAACGACUCGACACCAUUCGCGUCGUCCUCGGGGAUACCGUUCCUCUGCCGCCGUUCGAAACGGUGUUCUCUCGUAUGAAGCUUGCCGAGGAGAACCUCGCCCAGCGCGAGGCUGCUGAGCCAGUCACCAUCCUCGCCGUCACCGGGAGCGGUGGCCCUGCCGGCCACCCUUCUCGUCCUGGCGGCUCCUCCGGCACUCGUGCAGAUCGCCCCGACCGGGGCGCUGACCGCGGCAAUGGCUCCCAGGCUGCUCGCGGAUCUGGCAACCGCAACGAGGGCGGUGACCGCGGCAAUGCGGCGGCCGCGGCCGUGGGCGCGGGCGCGGCCGGGGGCGUGGUGAUCAAGGCGGUCGUGGCCAUCUACCACCCAUAUCCUACAACCCAUACAUGGGCUUCUUCGCACCCUACGGCAUGGCAUUGCCGAACCCGCGCCCCGGCUGUGUUCCUCCCAACAGCGCCAGCGUGCUCGGCCCGCGUCCCGGGUCGCAUGCCCAGGCGUACCAGAUGCACCUCUCGGGCUACCCCUCCCCGCCACCACCCCAGCCUCCAUCCUGGGAUCACCUCGCCAUGCUCCAGGCCGCCUACAGCGCCCAAGGCUUCCCCAACAGCAACUCUGCUCCUCAUGAGUGGUACCUCGAUAGCGGCGCAUCUUCCCACGUCACCGGCAACCCUGGUAAUCUUGACCUCUCGAAUUCUUCUUUAA